RNAcentral lists this ribosomal RNA (465 nucleotides) under uncultured bacterium. RNAcentral describes it as "partial 16S ribosomal RNA". It matches the Rfam family "Bacterial small subunit ribosomal RNA", at positions 338 to 795 of the family's 1533-position model. The record is from RNAcentral.
CCUACGUGGUGCAGCAGUGGGGAAUAUUGCGCAAUGGGCGAAAGCCUGACGCAGCGACGCCGCGUGAGGGAUGAAGGUCUUCGGAUCGUAAACCUCUGUCAGCAGGGAAGAACGGUCACUGUGUUAAUCAGCAGUGAAUUGACGGUACCUGCAAAGGAAGCACCGGCUAACUCCGUGCCAGCAGCCGCGGUAAUACGGAGGGUGCGAGCGUUAAUCGGAAUUACUGGGCGUAAAGCGCUCGUAGGCGGUAUGUCAAGUCAAGGGUGAAAUCCCCGCGCUCAACGUGGGAACUGCCUUUGAAACUGGCAAACUGGAGUGUGUGAGAGGAUAGUGGAAUUCCAGGUGUAGGAGUGAAAUCCGUAGAUAUCUGGAGGAACAUCAGUGGCGAAGGCGACUAUCUGGCACAUAACUGACGCUGAGGAGCGAAAGCGUGGGUAGCAAACAGGAUUAGAUACCCGGGUAGUC